This 498-nucleotide ribosomal RNA is filed under the name uncultured bacterium. RNAcentral's name for it is "bacterial SSU rRNA". It matches the Rfam family "Bacterial small subunit ribosomal RNA", at positions 29 to 515 of the family's 1533-position model. The record is from RNAcentral.
AGUGAACGCUGGCGGCAGGCCUAAUACAUGCAAGUCGAACGGCAGCACAGCAGAGCUUGCUCUGUGGGUGGCGAGUGGCGGACGGGUGAGGAAUACAUGGGAAUCUGCCCAGUCGUGGGGGAUAACGUAGGGAAACUUACGCUAAUACCGCAUGCGCCCUUCGGGGGAAAGCCGGGGACCUUCGGGCCUGGCGCGAUUGGAUGAGCCCAUGUCGGAUUAGCUAGUUGGCGGGGUAAUGGCCCACCAAGGCGACGAUCCGUAGCUGGUCUGAGAGGAUGAUCAGCCACACUGGAACUGAGACACGGUCCAGACUCCUACGGGAGGCAGCAGUAGGGAAUAUUGGACAAUGGGCGCAAGCCUGAUCCAGCCAUGCCGCGUGAGUGAAGAAGGCCCUCGGGUUGUAAAGCUCUUUUGUCCGGAAAGAAAAGCGCCGGGUUAAUACCCUGGUGUCCUGACGGUACCGGAAGAAUAAGCACCGGCUAACUUCGUGCCAGCACG